RNAcentral lists this ribosomal RNA (1143 nucleotides) under bacterium. RNAcentral describes it as "bacterial SSU rRNA". It matches the Rfam family "Bacterial small subunit ribosomal RNA", at positions 63 to 1193 of the family's 1533-position model. The record is from RNAcentral.
CGAGCGGACUUUAAAAGCUUGCUUUUAAAGUUAGCGGCGGACGGGUGAGUAACACGUGGGCAACCUGCCUGUAAGACUGGGAUAACUUCGGGAAACCGGAGCUAAUACCGGAUAAUGCUUUUAAUUUCAUGAUGGAAAGCUGAAAGACGGCAUCUCGCUGUCACUUACAGAUGGGCCCGCGGCGCAUUAGCUAGUUGGUGAGGUAACGGCUCACCAAGGCAACGAUGCGUAGCCGACCUGAGAGGGUGAUCGGCCACACUGGGACUGAGACACGGCCCAGACUCCUACGGGAGGCAGCAGUAGGGAAUCUUCCGCAAUGGACGAAAGUCUGACGGAGCAACGCCGCGUGAGUGAUGAAGGUUUUCGGGUCGUAAAGCUCUGUUGUUAGGGAAGAACAAGUACAAGAGUAACUGCUUGUACCUUGACGGUACCUAACCAGAAAGCCACGGCUAACUGCGUGUCAGCAGCCGCGGUAAUACGUAGGUGGCAAGCGUUGUCCGGAAUUAUUGGGCGUAAAGCGCGCGCAGGCGGUCCUUUAAGUCUGAUGUGAAAGCCCACGGCUCAACCGUGGAGGGUCAUUGGAAACUGGGGGACUUGAGUGCAGAAGAGAAGAGUGGAAUUCCACGUGUAGCGGUGAAAUGCGUAGAGAUGUGGAGGAACACCAGUGGCGAAGGCGACUCUUUGGUCUGUAACUGACGCUGAGGCGCGAAAGCGUGGGGAGCAAACAGGGUUUGUUACCCUGGUAGUCGGUGGGGUAAACUUUUGGUGCUAGGUGUUAGAGGGUUUCCGCCCUUUAGUGCUGCAGCAAACGCAUUAAGCACUCCGCCUGGGGAGUACGGCCGCAAGGCUGAAACUCAAAGGAAUUGACGGGGGCCCGCACAAGCGGUGGAGCAUGUGGUUUAAUUCGAAGCAACGCGAAGAACCUUACCAGGUCUUGACAUCCUCUGACACUCCUAGAGAUAGGACGUUCCCCUUCGGGGGACAGAGUGACAGGUGGUGCAUGGUUGUCGUCAGCUCGUGUCGUGAGAUGUUGGGUUAAGUCCCGCAACGAGCGCAACCCUUGAUCUUAGUUGCCAGCAUUAAGUUGGGCACUCUAAGUGACUGCCGGUGACAACCGGAGGAAGGUGGGAUGACGUCAAUCAU